RNAcentral lists this ribosomal RNA (118 nucleotides) under Helianthus annuus (common sunflower). Lineage: Eukaryota; Viridiplantae; Streptophyta; Magnoliopsida; Asterales; Asteraceae. The record is from RNAcentral.
GGUUGCGAUCAUACCAGCACUAAUGCACCGGAUCCCAUCAGAACUCCGCAGUUAAGCGUGCUUGGGCGAGAGUAGUACUAGGAUGGGUGACCCAUGGGAAGUCCUCGUGUUGCAACCC